Molecule: ribosomal RNA, 510 nt
Filed under: uncultured bacterium
Lineage: Bacteria
Description: partial 16S ribosomal RNA
Rfam family: Bacterial small subunit ribosomal RNA
Source: RNAcentral
GACGAACGCUGGCGGCGUGCUUAACACAUGCAAGUCGAACGAAAAGCGAUUGCAUCUUGCUUCUAUCCGUCUUAGUGGCGAACGGGUGAGUAACGCGUAAUCAACCUUCCCUUCUGAGGUGGCCUACAGUUGGAAACGACUACUCAUACCACAUACGCCCUCUUCUCGGCAUCGAGGGUAGAUUAACGGUGGCCUCUACUUGUAACCUAUCACUUCAGGUGGGGAUUGCGUCGGAUUAGCUAGUUGGCGGGGUAACGUCCCACGAAGGCGAUGAUCAGGAGUCGGAAGGAGAGGAUGAACGGCCACAUUGGGAGUGAGACACGGCCCAGACGGAUACGGGAGGGAGCAGGGGGGAAACGUGAGCAAGGGACGAAAGACUGACGGAGAAACGCGGAGGGAGGGAUGACGGACGUCGGGUUGUAAAGGUCGGUUAAUCGGGACGAAAGGCCUUCUGGCGAAGAGUGAGAAGGAUUGACGGUACCGGAAUAGAAAGCCACGGCUAACUACGUG